Molecule: ribosomal RNA, 345 nt
Filed under: uncultured bacterium
Lineage: Bacteria
Description: bacterial SSU rRNA
Rfam family: Bacterial small subunit ribosomal RNA
Source: RNAcentral
AACGAACGCUGGCGGCGCGCCUAAUACAUGCAAGUCGAGCGAGAAGGUGUAGCAAUACACUUGUAAAGCGGCGAACGGGUGAGGAAUACAUGGGUAAUCUACCAUCGAGUGGGGAAUAACCAGCCGAAAGGUUGGCUAAUACCGCGUACGCUUCCGAGUCUUCGGGCUUGGAAGGAAAGCCGCACUGUGAGUGCGGCGCUCUUUGAUGAGCUCAUGUCCUAUCAGCUUGUUGGUAGGGUAACGGCCUACCAAGGCUUUGACGGGUAGGCUGGUCUGAGAGGACGAUCAGCCACACUGGCACUGCGACACGGGCCGAGACUCCUACGGGAGGGCAGCAGUAAGGAA